GUAGGUGGCAAGCGUUGUCCGGAAUUAUUGGGCGUAAAGCGCGCGCAGGCGGUUCUUUAAGUCUGAUGUGAAAGCCCACGGCUCAACCGUGGAGGGUCAUUGGAAACUGGAGAACUUGAGUACAGAAGAGGAAAGCGGAAUUCCACGUGUAGCGGUGAAAUGCGUAGAGAUGUGGAGGAACACCAGUGGCGAAGGCGGCUUUCUGGUCUGUAACUGCCGCUGAGGCGCGAAAGCGUGGGGAGCAAACAGGAUUAGAUACCCUGGUAGUCCACGCCGUAAACGAUGAGUGCUAAGUGUUAGGGGGUUUCCGCCCCCCUUAGUGCUGCAGCUAACGCAUUAAGCACUCCGCCUGGGAGUACGGCCGCAAGGCUG
Molecule: ribosomal RNA, 372 nt
Filed under: uncultured organism
Description: partial 16S ribosomal RNA
Rfam family: Bacterial small subunit ribosomal RNA
Source: RNAcentral